UACGUAGGUGGCAAGCGUUGUCCGGAAUUACUGGGUGUAAAGGGCGUGUAGGCGGGAAGGCAAGUCAGAUGUGAAAUCCCAGGGCUUAACUCUGGAGCUGCAUCUGAAACUGUUUUUCUUGAGUACUGGAGAGGAAAGUGGAAUUCCUAGUGUAGCGGUGAAAUGCGUAGAGAUUAGGAGGAACACCAGUGGCGAAGGCGGCUUCCUGGUCUGUAACUGACACUGAGGCGCGAAAGCGUGGGGAGCAAACAGGAUUAGAUACCCCCGUAGUCCCU
Molecule: ribosomal RNA, 275 nt
Filed under: uncultured prokaryote
Description: partial 16S ribosomal RNA
Rfam family: Bacterial small subunit ribosomal RNA
Source: RNAcentral